Molecule: ribosomal RNA, 479 nt
Filed under: uncultured bacterium
Lineage: Bacteria
Description: partial 16S ribosomal RNA
Rfam family: Bacterial small subunit ribosomal RNA
Source: RNAcentral
AUUGAACGCUGGCGGCAUGCCUUACACAUGCAAGUCGAACGGUAACGCGGGGCAACCUGGCGACGAGUGGCGAACGGGUGAGUAAUGCAUCGGAACGUGCCCAGAAGUGGGGGAUAGCCCGGCGAAAGCCGGAUUAAUACCGCAUGAGACCUGAGGGUGAAAGCGGGGGAUCGCAAGACCUCGCGCUUUUGGAGCGGCCGAUGUCAGAUUAGCUAGUUGGUGGGGUAAAGGCCUACCAAGGCGACGAUCUGUAGCUGGUCUGAGAGGACGACCAGCCACACUGGGACUGAGACACGGCCCAGACUCCUACGGGAGGCAGCAGUGGGGAAUUUUGGACAAUGGGCGCAAGCCUGAUCCAGCCAUGCCGCGUGCGGGAAGAAGGCCUUCGGGUUGUAAACCGCUUUUGUCAGGGAAGAAACGCUCUGGGCUAAUACCCUGGGGUAAUGACGGUACCUGAAGAAUAAGCACCGGCUAACUAC